GUGUUGGAUUGUUCACCCAC
Molecule: small nuclear RNA, 20 nt
Filed under: Arabidopsis thaliana (thale cress)
Lineage: Eukaryota; Viridiplantae; Streptophyta; Magnoliopsida; Brassicales; Brassicaceae
Description: snRNA_00380
Source: RNAcentral